GAUGAACGCUGGCGGCGUGCCUAAUACAUGCAAGUCGAGCGAACGGACGAGAAGCUUGCUUCUCUGAUGUUAGCGGCGGACGGGUGAGUAACACGUGGAUAACCUACCUAUAAGACUGGGAUAACUUCGGGAAACCGGAGCUAAUACCGGACAAUAUUUUGAACCGCAUGGUUCAAAAGGGAAAGACGGUCUUGCUGUCACUUAUAGAUGGAUCCGCGCUGCAUUAGCUAGUUGGUAAGGUAACGGCUUACCAAGGCAACGAUGCAUAGCCGACCUGAGAGGGUGAUCGGCCACACUGGAACUGAGACACGGUCCAGACUCCUACGGGAGGCAGCAGUAGGGAAUCUUCCGCAAUGGGCGAAAGCCUGACGGAGCAACGCCGCGUGAGUGAUGAAGGUCUUCGGAUCGUAAAACUCUGUUAUUAGGGAAGAACAUAUGUGUAAGUAACUGUGCACAUCUUGACGGUACCUAAUCAGAAAGCCACGGCUAACUACGUG
RNAcentral lists this ribosomal RNA (497 nucleotides) under uncultured bacterium. RNAcentral's name for it is "partial 16S ribosomal RNA". It matches the Rfam family "Bacterial small subunit ribosomal RNA", at positions 28 to 507 of the family's 1533-position model. The record is from RNAcentral.